GAUUUUGAAUGUUCGAACUCGAACAGAGUAAUGCAUCCCUCGUAUAAAACAAUUAAGUGUUUUUGUUAGAAACCUUAUUUAGUGUUGAAUCCACAAUACCACAAUACCAGAUACUGGCCCGCGAUGUUGAUGUUGAUGCGAACGCGAACGUCUUUUGUUUUCACUUCGUAUAGCUGUUAAACCGCUUAAGUUUUUAGGAACGAUGCUAAACUUGAUACUCAACUGUAGUAACUAAAGAAAAAGGUACAGUAAUACAACAACCGUAGCACAAAACCAAGUGGAAGGGAGACACAAUUAAAAAUGACCGGUUGGAUACGAAUUUAAGUGCACAUAUUUAUUAAAAAUAACAAAAUAUGAAAAUUAAAUAUGAAGUUUUUAAUACCAACUGCGAGAAAAAGCACAAAUGUAUUGUUUAUAUUUUUAAGUCCAUAUUUUAAUUUUGGGACAACUCUUGAAAAAUGUUUCCUUAAUAAAAAAUUACAUUUAUGAAUACAA
Long non-coding RNA from Bactrocera neohumeralis, 495 nucleotides. RefSeq lists it as uncharacterized. The record is from RefSeq and is a predicted model, not a curated record. NCBI's taxonomy places the organism in Eukaryota, Metazoa, Arthropoda, Insecta, Diptera, Tephritidae. The transcript is spliced from 2 exons.